This 460-nucleotide ribosomal RNA is filed under the name uncultured bacterium. RNAcentral's name for it is "partial 16S ribosomal RNA". It matches the Rfam family "Bacterial small subunit ribosomal RNA", at positions 338 to 795 of the family's 1533-position model. The record is from RNAcentral.
CCUACGGGAGGCAGCAGUGAGGAAUAUUGGUCAAUGGGCGGAAGCCUGAACCAGCCAAGUAGCGUGCAGGAUGACGGCCCUAUGGGUUGUAAACUGCUUUUAUAUGGGAAUAACGUGACUUACGUGUUGGUUUUUGUAUGUACCGUAUGAAUAAGCAUCGGCUAACUCCGUGCCAGCAGCCGCGGUAAUACGGAGGGUGCGAGCGUUAUCCGGAUUUAUUGGGUUUAAAGGGAGCGUAGGCGGUUAAUUAAGUGAGCUGUGAAAUGUGGUGGCUCAACCAGAAAAUGGCGGUGGAAACUGGUUGAAUUGAGGAUAGUUGAGGGAGGAGGAAGGAGGGGGUGAGCGGUGAAAUGAAUAGAGAUAAAGAAGAACUCCGAGUGAGAAGGAAGAUGAAUAAACGAUAAAUGACACUGAAGCACGAAAGCGGGGGGAUAAAACAGGAUGAGAGAACCGUGUAGGC